UCCAGAGAACUUUGUAAAUACAGAUCCACAACGUAACAUCACGGUAACAAUCUCACGGUCAAAAACGAGGACAGUAGCAGGAACCACAGUAAACCAUAACGGAACUUCAACCAAACUUAGAACCAUAAAUUUCAAACCAAAAAAAUAAAUCUAAAGGCAACGGAAAAUCUAACUCCUCCAGUUUCCUUCAGAGCCACCACCGUAACCACCUUCACGACGGCCACCUCCAUAACCGCCGCCGCCACCACCACCAUAACCACCUUCACGGCGGCCACCUCCGUAACCGCCGCCACCACCGUAUCCACCUUCACGACGGCCACCACAUCCGUAGCCUCCACCGCUACCACCACGGUAACCGCCACCGCCUCCACCUCCGCCGCUUCCGCGAGACUGAGCUUCGUUGACGGUGAUGUUACGACCGUCAAGGUCCU
RNAcentral lists this long non-coding RNA (431 nucleotides) under Nicotiana tabacum (common tobacco). Its description in RNAcentral is "long non-coding RNA (NTAB_LNC004623)". Lineage: Eukaryota; Viridiplantae; Streptophyta; Magnoliopsida; Solanales; Solanaceae. The record is from RNAcentral.